UUUUUUUUUGUCCACGUUGAAGGAUUAAUCUUUUUCUCAUUUUUCUCCAAUUGAGAGAAAAGUUGCAGAAUGUACGAGCAUAAUUGAUCCUCUUUUCCCUCUCUUGUUCUCUCUCAUCUUCUUCGAUCAUUGGAUUUUUUGUUUGUGACCGAUGUACGCUGGAUUUUUUAGGACCACUGCAUGGUGAGGUCUUAUUCUUUGUCUUUAGAUUUUUUUUCUUUUUUUUUUUGGGUUGUAUUGCGAUUGUCGGGAUGAUGUUGAUGAAGCUGAGCAGAGAUCGGUUUAACUUCCAGAUUUGGUUCAGAAGUUGGUCUCGGUUCAGUAGGCAAUUCAAGAGAUGGGUGUGAUAGCUGUGAACACGAAUAUGGUCUCAGACUCAUGUCAUCUCUCGUCGGUGUGUGGUGCAUAGGAUAAGAUUUGCUAGUUGUAGGUUUUUGUUGUAGUUAGAGGUUUGAUGGAGUUCUAAUAGGAACUUUAUGUCUCAUUAGCCCAGAUGUGGCUCUGUUUUGGGUUUAAAAUUUGAAUCUUUGCCCUUCCUCUAUGGUGGCUCCUCUCACUUGUUCGUUGUCGCAUUAAGAGAUGUAUUCAUUAUGGAUGUUUGUUAUUCAUAUGAUAUUAUGUUGUUGAGCCAUCUACUAGCAUCUCUUUGAGGUUUUUUUGGGGAUUUUUGUUAAUGGCCUUUCUACGGAUGUUUAAAUCACUGGUUUAUGCCAAGAGAUUCAACAACGGGCACUGCGUUUUGGGAGAGAUCUCCUUUCUUCAUACAAACCGUUCGUGUAAUAUCGUCGCUCAUAUGUUGGCGAAACAAGGUUGUAGUCUUUCAAAUGUCUUUUCGGAUUGUAUGGAUCCUCUUGUAUCAUGAUCAAUUAAAUUCUUAAUAAAGAUACCCGUUAAAAAAAUUAAAUAACUAUAUUUAUAUAAGAUUUAUUGUACAUAUAUAUA
This 942-nucleotide long non-coding RNA is filed under the name Arabidopsis lyrata. RNAcentral describes it as "long non-coding RNA (ALYR_LNC001994)". The record is from RNAcentral. Lineage: Eukaryota; Viridiplantae; Streptophyta; Magnoliopsida; Brassicales; Brassicaceae.